GAGAGAGAGAGAGAGAGGGUGAUAGGUCCAUUCCAAUAGGCAAAGGUUAAAAAAACAUUUCAAUACAAGUUGUAUAAAAUAGAGUACCAUCCAGAGUUCAAAUUUAUGAAAUAUUCUUUACAGAGACACCUCUGAUUCUUAGGUCCAUGAUACAUCUAUAUAUUUGUUAUUGAUGAGCCUAGAUAAGGCCUGGCAUAUGAUCAUUCAUUUAGAGCACCAUAUGGUCUACUGCACUCUACUGCUUACAUCCACAAAAUAUAAUCAUAUUGCUAUGCACAUAAUAAUAUGAUGCAGAUGUACAGACUGCAGCAUCCAUAAAAUAUUUUUAAAAACUGACAAUCUGUUGGAUAUGAUGAUACAGGUUCUAGUUCAUCCAAUCUAUGGAACAGUGCAUGAAACUAACAUUCAAGUGGCUGAACCAGCCACAAACAUGGUACACCCUUAAUGUAGUUCUCGGGGAGAUUUAGCUUGAAACAGAAUGUGACAAGGCUGGCCUUUUGAAUAAUAGGUACUACUCAUUUUUUCCAGCUGAGUGGAUUGGAGAAAUGUGAAAUAAAGUGUCUUCCUCAAGGACACCUUGCGUCGCCAGGAACUGAAGUCAUGACCUUACGAUUGUGAGCCAAGUACCUUAACUACUAAGCCAUGCACCUCCGCUUAGAAUAUAUAUCAGGAUUAAGUAACGAGAGAAAACAAGAGUGAUUAAUCUUGUUAUUUCUUCCUUUACUGGUACUUAAUUAGUGAGCACCAGUGAAAAGUUUUAUUAUAAUUUCUUGACAGCUUGGGUCACUUAGAAUCUUUUAUCUGGUAAAUAUUCUAAGGUUUAUUUAUGUUCUUUUAUUCCUUUCCUAAUUCAGCCAGUUUAUUUUGGCCAUUCUAAAGUAGGGAGGCACUUACUUGGUAUAUUUUGUUUCAUAUUUUCCUAAUUUUUAUCAAUACAUUUGUAAUUAUUCUUUUAGUUUUGUGUAUGUAUGUAUGUCUAUUAGUGGAUGUAAAGGUUCGUGUGUGUGUGUGUGUGUGUGUGUGUGUGUGUGUGUGCUGUUAUUCCUGCUGUUGUCACAACGGUUAUAAUAGUCAAUUCAGAAGUUGUUUUUGAGGUUGUGGUGCUGUUGUUGUUGUUGUUUUUUGCUAUUGCUUUUGUUACUGGGUUGUCACAUGAGUAAACCUUACUCAAGCAGGUUGCACCUUGGCAUAGAGAAGCCCAACCAAAUUACGAAACUAUGUAUGUCUUGGGUUCUUGUUGCCACACUUCAGCCUAGUCUAAUCUGGAACCACCAAUGCUGCAUAUUAAUGGGUAGUAGUGGAUUGACACAAACAGCAGAGAGAUAACAGGCAAAAACAAAACAAAAAUCCUCUACAUAUUGUACCCUUACAUUCUGAGUUCAAAUCUUGCCAAAGUCAACUUUGCCUUUAAUCUGAAACUACAAGCCAAAAAAAUAAGCACAAUUUGAGUACUUGGGCUGAUAUAAUUGACUGCACCCAUCAUCCCUUAUAGGUUGAAACCUUGUGCCUAUCUUAGAAAUCAAUACCACACAUUCUGUUAUUCAGCAGCUGGUUUAAUUGUCAAAAUGGUGAGCUGUGCAGUUUGGCACUCAAGACACAUAAUUUAUGUCUAAAUGGAAAGCCAAUAUCUAAAUGUUUCAGUCACAGAUCAGGUAUCAAAGCCAUCCAUUUCAUUAUGGAAGAUCACUGUUUAAAUUAUUAGAUAUUUUUUCCACUCACAGAAAUAUAAUAUGACUCCAUUUUUGGUUCUUACCAUAUUACUUUUCACCAAUGCAAACCAUCACUUUGGCUUUGUAAAUUCUAGUAAUUUUAUUCUCAUAUUUAUGUGUGUUUAUGUGUGAUAUAUAUAUAUAUGUGUGUGUGAUAAAUAUUUAUGUAUGUAGGUAUGCAUGUAAAUAUAUAUGUUGGUACAUGUAAGUGCAUUUGCAUGUUUAUACAGUACAUGCAUACAUAUAUGUAAGGGUGUAUGUAUACGUGUGUGUGUGUGCGUGCAUGUGUGUGUGAAUAUCAAACUUAAAAUAUGACAAUAAUUAUACUUUAAGAAAAACUAUAAAAAAAUCAAAACAAACAAAAAUAACAAUAACCUAUAAACAUAGGACACACCCUACACUAGCAUCUAAUUUCUGUUCACUGAACAACUUCAUUUUCUUUGACAAACACCUAACUUUCUUCAAGCAAUCACUAUGAUUUUUUUUUUUAGUAAACAUCCAAAUUUUGUUCAGUGAACACUCCAGUUCUAUUUCAUAAAUACUCAUUUUGUUUAUCAGUGAUUGUGUUCAGUAAACAACUUGAAUUUUUUUCCAGUGUACACUGGAAAUUUUUCAAUGGACACACUUAAAUUUUUUUUUUUAGUGGACAGCCUAGAUUUUUUUUUCAGUAAGUACCUAAAUUUUGCUGAGUGAACACUGACUUAAUGUAGAGAACCACCUGCUAUUGUUUAGUGAACAUCCAAGUUCCAUUAAGUGAAUGCCUUUAUUUCAUUCAUUAAUUUUGUUUAGUGAACAUAAUGAUAUUUAAUAAACACCCUGAUACAUUUUAGUGGACAUCCUGAUACAAUUUGAUGAAAAUACUUGUGGCUUUUUUAACUAAGAAUAUCCUAUUUUGUUUAUUGUAUUUUUUUAUGUCAGUGAACAUUCUGGUAUUGUUCAGUGAAAUCUCUGAAUUUUGUUAUGGAAAUAUCCUAAAUAUUGUUUAGUGAACACACACAGAUUUUUCUUCAGUAAACACCCAAAUUUUGUUCAGUGAGCACAGCAGUUAUAAGUUGGGAAGGUAUGAAGGUUGUGAAAACAUGGUGUUGAUAACUGACACUGCUACACAACCAUCCCUCUCCCCCCCCCCCCAUAUAAACAUACAUAUAUAAAAAAAACAAAAGAAAAAUUCUACUUGGAAAGAAUAAUAAUAAUAAUAAUAAUAAUAAUAAUAAUAAUAAUCAUGGUAAUAAUGUUUC
RNAcentral lists this long non-coding RNA (2947 nucleotides) under Octopus vulgaris (common octopus). Lineage: Eukaryota; Metazoa; Mollusca; Cephalopoda; Octopoda; Octopodidae. The record is from RNAcentral.